This 3075-nucleotide small RNA is filed under the name Pan troglodytes (chimpanzee). RNAcentral describes it as "processed transcript". Lineage: Eukaryota; Metazoa; Chordata; Mammalia; Primates; Hominidae. The record is from RNAcentral.
CUUUCCUGCUCUUGGAACGCUCGGCUCUGAGAGGCUCCAGGUUUCUCCGCCAGAGCUCCUGUCGCUCUGUCACUUGCGCUGUGUUCCUCUCUAGUCACAAGAGCCUUGGGGAAGACAGUUGGAAGCUCAGACAUGAGAAAUAUUCCACAGGACAAUGAAAACCCACCCCAAAAGGGUGAAGCAAAUCAAAAUGAUUUCGCUUUUGUUGCCCAGGCUGGAGUACAGUGGCUCGAUCUCGGCCCACUGCCACCUCUGCUUCCUGGGUUGAAGCAAUUCUUCUGCCUCAGCCUCCUGAGUAGCUGUGGUUACAGUUGGAGUCUUGCUCUGUUGCCCAGGCUGGAGUGCGGUGGCGCGAUCUCAGCUCACUGCAAGCUCCGCCUCCCGGGUUCACGCCAUUCUCCUGCCUCAGCCUCCCAAGUAGCUGGGACUACAGGCGCCCGCCACCACGGCUGGCUAAUUUUUGUAUUUUUAGUAGAGACAGGGUUUCACCAUGUUAGCCAGGAUGGUCUCGAUCUCUUGACCUCGUGAUCUGCCCGCCUCGGCCUCCCAAAGUGCUGGGAUGACAGGCGUGAGCCACCAUGUCCACCAAGACACCACACACACCAAAUAUAGAGGUGUGAAGGGGGAAAUCAGGGGUCUCACAGCCUUCAGAGCUGAGAGUCCUGAACAGAGAUUUAUCCACAUAUUUAUUAACAGCAAACUAGUCAUUAGCGUUGUUUCUAUAGAUAUUAAAUUAACUAAAAGUAUCCCUUAUGGGAAACAAAGGGAUGGGCUGAAUUAAAGGAAUAGGUUGGGCUAGUUAACUGCAGCAGGAGCAUGUCCUUAAGGCACAGAUAGCUCAUGCUAUUAUUUGUGGCUUAAGGCUUAAGAAUGCCUUUAAGCGGUUUUCUGCCCUGGGCGGGCCAGGUGUUCCUUGCCCUCAUUCCGGUAAACUCACAACCUUCCAGUGUGGGUGUUAGGGCCAUUAUGAACAUGUUACAGUGCUGCAGAGAUUUUGUUUAUGGCCAGUUUUGGAGCCAGUUUAUGGCCAGAUUUUGGGGGGCCUGCUCCCAACAUGUCCCCUUUCUUUGAUUUGCAAAUCAAUAAAAGCAAGGGCAGCUUUGUCACAGUGAGCUACUUCUCGCAGGAGUCAGGAUCCACGUCUGCAGACUAUACAAAGACAACACAGAUUAAAAGCACAAUCAUCGUUGAAAUCACAGAACUUCCAAGUGUUUUUAUCCAUUUUCAGCUCCUUUAAGCACUCCAGUUCUGGCAUUAAGGUCAGCUGUGCCUGGGAUGCUUUAAAUAUUUGUUUUUUUAAUUUUAAAUCCUUAUGUUAAGCUCCUACAAUGAGCCAUAUCAUUUGAGGUUGAGGUGCCACUAUACUGCCAUGGUUCCAGAUAAUAGGAACUUUUGCCAUACUUCUUAUCAUUUCUACCAUCUGACCGUUUUGUUCAGAUCAGCUGAACAUAGUGUGGCUGUGGCAUGCAGACUGAGAGGUGCAGUUUAAGCUAAACAUCCCCUUAGGGGACCAAUUAAUAAUGAUUCCAUAGAAAUUGUUGUGUAGCACCUCUGCCUGUUCUGCAAUGCAGUCUUCCUAAACAAGGUAACGUUCAUUUUUUCUAACUGGGUCUGAUCCUGUUUACAAAUAGGUUUUUGAGGGCAGUAUGCCUCAAUUAUAGGAGCAGAUUUAUUAUGGUAAAUACUGAGAUUAGAAAGCAUGUGUAACUGUGUCACAGAGUGAUUGCAUCCAGGCAUUAUUACCAGUCAAGAUUGAUAAAUAUGCCCAGUAAGUAUAAUCGUUCUCUGUGUCAGCCCUUAUUGAAGGAAUACUCAAGGUAGUGGUGAUAACUGCUGUCAUAGCUACCAUUAAAUUAUUCAUUGUGACUGGUUGUCCCGCUUUCCUCAGGUUUUCUUCCGCCAUCUGUGACAGCUUCUUGAUCUGUCCCCAGGUGGGUGGCUGUGUUCGAUGGGUGUUGCUCGUGACAGUUGGGGUCCUCCUCAGCGUCAGUCUCGACAUGGCUGCAACCGGGGAAUCUUUGGGAUCCUCUCGGAGUCUCUUCCUCAGCAUCUGCCUCAUGAUAAGGUUUCAGGUGUCUUGAUAGUACCCAAAUCGGCUGUUGAUUUUGGUCUGGAGAAACACAAGCAUGAUCUCUACUCCAAGUUAUUAUUUUACCUAUUUCCCAACUUUUUGUUAUUGAAUAUCUCCACCAAAUCAGUUGUUCUGCUUCUUUCUUUGCAGCUGGUUUCUGUAGAUGCUGUUCAGUUGCUGAUAACAUCUGGCCUUUGGGCAGGUUCAAAACAUUUAAUGUUAAUAAUGCUACGUUCAGUUGUAUCUGUGGGGUUCCAUAUUCUCUAUUUCCCCCUUUCUGCUUUUGCAACUGCUGUUUUAGGGAAAGAUUCAUUCUUUCCACUAUGGCUUGUCCUUGAAUUGUAUGGGAUAUCAGUAAUGUGUUUAAUAUUCCACAUAGAGAAAAAUGUAGCUAGAGCUUGGCUAGUAUAGCCUGGGGCAUUAUCUGUUUUAAUAGAAGCUGGAAUGCCCAUCACUGCAAAACACUGCAAAAGAUGACGUUUAACACAGGCAGAAGACUCUCCUGUUGGCAUGUAGCCCAAAGUGAGACAAGGUGUCCACACAUACAUGUGGGCACCAAAUGAGGGAAUAUGUGUGACAUCCAUUUGCCAAAGAGAGUUAGGUUCCAAUCCUUGAGGAUUAACUCCUCCUGUAAAAGAUGAGGAAUGUACCAUUUGGCAAUUUGGCAUUGCUGGAUAAUAGCUUUAGCUUCUUUCCAGGUAAUGCUGUAUCUGUGUUUGAGGCCAGAGGCAUUAACAUGGGUUAAAUUGUGAAAGUGUCUAGCAUUAGAUAUUGCAUUAGCAACUAGGCGAUCAGCCAUUUGAUUCCCUUCAAUCAAAGGUCCUGGAAGAGGUGUAUGAGCCCUAAUGUGAGUGAUGUAAAAAGGGUGCAUUCAUUGCUGGAUAAUAACUUUAGCUCCCUGAUAGAGGUGUAUGAGCGCUAACGUGAGUGAUGUAAAAAGGGUGCAUUCUACUUCUAACUGCUGUUUGCAAUUGGGUAAAUAAAGUAAUCAGUUGUUCAUCUGU